RNAcentral lists this ribosomal RNA (480 nucleotides) under Triticum aestivum (bread wheat). Its description in RNAcentral is "partial small subunit ribosomal RNA". Lineage: Eukaryota; Viridiplantae; Streptophyta; Magnoliopsida; Poales; Poaceae. The record is from RNAcentral.
AUGACGUCGACCCUAUGGCCGGACUCCGUCCAACCGAGCAGCUUCUCGCGCCUGGCGCGUCGAUUGGAGAUGGGGCCGAACCGGCUUGGCGAGUGGCGCGUCUCCGCCGCUCGUGCCGGUGCUGAGAUGGCGCUCCGGUUCGCACUGUCCUGGCAUCCGGACCUGCAGCUGGACGCGUUGAUGGGCCAGCGGGCCGGUUCGGAGCAGCUCUUGCAGGAGCAUGCCGGCCGGAUCGCCUCCCGGGCCAGCUACAUCGCCGAGUUCGCCUUCCACGACGAGUUCCAUCCGGAGCGGACGGAAGACGGCGGGGCCGAGGACGGCGACGACUACGGCUUGCUCCUCCACGAUCCGGAGGGGAGCUCGGAGGAGACGGGCGUCUACCGCGACGCGGAUGCUGAGGAGGGCACCGGCACCUCGCCGGACCCGGAGGCCGCGAGGGGAGAGCCGUCGAUGUCGCGACACGGCGCUGGAGAUGCCUGA